UUACCGGCGUUUUUUAAUAAAAACGCCACAAAUAUUACAAUAUACGGUGUCU
Gossypium raimondii (Peruvian cotton) is the source of this 52-nucleotide non-coding RNA. NCBI's taxonomy places the organism in Eukaryota, Viridiplantae, Streptophyta, Magnoliopsida, Malvales, Malvaceae. The record is from Rfam.